AUUUUUCUUUGAAAAACUAAAAGGAGAAUUUAGACAUUUGAAUUUGAACUUUGUUCUGACUCUUAAAUCUCAUCAUUAUUAAUCAUGAAUAUAUGUGUCAACAGUAAUAUCAUGGUGCAGAAGACUGACGCAGACUAGUCAGAGGGAGAUGCCCACUGGUUCUGUUCUUGAAGAAAAUUGGUGUGUGGCUUCUGAACUUGAAAAGAUACAGAAGUUUAACUGUAUCCUUUAAACAUAAGGUAUUGUCC
Myotis brandtii (Brandt's bat) is the source of this 248-nucleotide long non-coding RNA. RefSeq lists it as uncharacterized. The transcript is spliced from 3 exons. The record is from RefSeq and is a predicted model, not a curated record. NCBI's taxonomy places the organism in Eukaryota, Metazoa, Chordata, Mammalia, Chiroptera, Vespertilionidae.